CUUCGCGGCAGGGGCAGGAGGUGUAGUGCGCCUGCGCCUUUCGGAACCUCUUCAGGGGACCACGUCUCGCGGUAGCUGAUUCCCAGGCUCCACCCCUUGCACGCCUCUAGCCUUUGUUGGCAAACAGUUCUGGCGACUUGGGCUCGGUGGUGUCAGUUUCGGCGAGGUUGUCGCAGCGCGGCCCGGGGGAGCUGCUGCAGUCCGUGUAAGCAGCUGUUCCAGUUAAAGUAGCGAGGUGUUAGCACUCCUACCUCCCCAGUCUUCAGUGCCCCCACCAGCUUACAGACGGGCUCACAGCCCAGGAAGGGAGCGAUCAGGAGCCCAGCUUCCAGCCCUGUUCAGGAUGUAGGGCAUCAUCUAGGACCUGCUCAACUUUGUUGGUACCAUUACAAUGAUCAUCGUCACAGGAGAGGGGAUGGUGGUGUCUGAAUAGUGAAUACCAGAUUUCAACCAAGGAUCAAAAGCAACAGUGGUGUCUUUGCACGAGAUGCCGCUGAACUCCGACGCUCCCCCCAAUCUGAUUCACAGUUUAUAAUCACAGUUAUCACAGAGCCAUUAAAAGCCUAUUAACUUGAAUUCCCACAAUUCCUUGAGGGCAAGGGCAAAGAAAGAGCAAAAUAACUUUGAAUGUAAAUGUAACACAAUGUUCGAAAGAGGAGGCUCUCUUUUAAUUAUGCCAGCGAAGGAAGCUGUCUUAUGGACGCACCCACCCUCGCAUAUGGCUGAUGAAAGAAUACACCAUGAAGUCUUAGGACGCUCGUGACGUUAUGAAAAUGAUUUCUCUGUGAAGAGACUGGGACAGCAUCUGCCUGUUCAGACCCCUCUCUGAGAGGAGGAAGAGUGGAUGGCUUGUUAAAAUGUGUUGACUGCUGGGUAGGCUGGCUGGACGAACACUGUGCAGGGGCUGAUCGAAUGAGCCUGAAAGAAUACGCAGCCUCAUUUGGUGGAAGCAAAAACCUAACAAAUAUUCAAGCCAUUGUCAUACGAGAAAUUUGAUUUCGUGUUUUUCCACCCUUCGGUGCCUUCGCUGACAUGUCCCCUAACAAUGUUAUUACGUGCUGUACAGUGAGACAGUGCAGUCAAUAAGCUGUCUUAAGACCUCGGAUAAAGUGCAGAGUUCUUAUCUCACCACGGAACAAUUCCAGACGUCCUACUGCAGUGCGCUGUGUGCACGCCCAUGAUGGAGUCUGUCCCCAAACCUCUGUGGCCACCCCGGUGAGCUGUGUGCUGGCUCUCAGGCACCCCAGGCAGGCUGGGCUCGAACCUCACCUCCCCUUUGUGAAGGAAUGCUGGACUCACCAGAGGAGGGAAGGCGCUUUCUCUCCGGCGCUGACUCUGAAACAACCAAUUCCAAUCAAUCCACCCUCACCUAAAAUGAGUUCUUCCUGCAUGAAUUACCCACAUUCACUGCCCAGCUUGAUCUCGUUCCCGCAGUGGAUAAAGCAAAUGGCUCAGUCCAGAGGGAGUGGGUUAUUGACUAAGUGCUUAAUUAGGCGCACAACCCUGAUGUGGUCAUUCUCCUACCGGCAGGACGACUGGGCCGUGGCACGGCAGAACCAUGGAUCUGGUUUACUCCCACUUGCCUGAGCCGCAGUCGAAUCAA
Ailuropoda melanoleuca (giant panda) is the source of this 1603-nucleotide long non-coding RNA. RefSeq lists it as uncharacterized. The transcript has 4 exons. The record is from RefSeq and is a predicted model, not a curated record. Lineage: Eukaryota; Metazoa; Chordata; Mammalia; Carnivora; Ursidae.